UGUCAUUGUGGUAGCCAUUUAUUGAAUUC
This 29-nucleotide non-coding RNA is filed under the name Mus musculus (house mouse). The record is from RNAcentral. Lineage: Eukaryota; Metazoa; Chordata; Mammalia; Rodentia; Muridae.